Molecule: ribosomal RNA, 253 nt
Filed under: uncultured bacterium
Lineage: Bacteria
Description: partial 16S ribosomal RNA
Rfam family: Bacterial small subunit ribosomal RNA
Source: RNAcentral
UACAGAGGGGGCAAGCGUUAUUCGGAAUUAUUGGGCGUAAAGGGCGCGUAGGCGGCCUGGCAAGUGGAAGGUGAAAUCCCUCGGCUUAACCGAGGAACUGCCCUCCAAACUGCUUGGCUUGAGUCCGGGAGAGGUGAGUGGAAUUCCCAGUGUAGCGGUGAAAUGCGUAGAUAUUGGGAGGAACACCAGUGGCGAAGGCGAGUCUCUGGACAUUUCCUGACGCUGAGGCACGAAAGCCAGGGGAGCAAACGGG